This 252-nucleotide ribosomal RNA is filed under the name uncultured bacterium. RNAcentral describes it as "partial 16S ribosomal RNA". It matches the Rfam family "Bacterial small subunit ribosomal RNA", at positions 524 to 776 of the family's 1533-position model. The record is from RNAcentral.
UAAGGAGGAUGCGAGCGUUAUCCGGAUUUAUUGGGUUUAAAGGGUGCGUAGGCGGAACAUUAAGUCAGCGGUAAAAUCGAGGGGCUCAACCCCUUUAAGCCGUUGAAACUGGUGAUCUUGAGUGGGCGAGAAGUAUGCGGAAUGCGUGGUGUAGCGGUGAAAUGCGUAGAUAUAUGGAAGAACACCAGUGGCGAAAGCGGCUCUCUGGUCUGUAACUGACGCUGAGGUUCGAAAGCGUGGGGAGCAAACAGG